UCUGAUUUGGUAUUACUGUAUCCAUUUUUGUUCUUUGAUAAGAGAAUGUAUCAGAUCGGUGAUAUAUAGAUUCCUUUAAUCUGAUAGAGAUCUCUCUGAUUAGAAUGUAAUGUCUGAAAAUAUGCAAUGCAAAAAUCACAAUCCAGAAACUUGGUUUGUUUCUAUCAAAUUGUUGUUAAUGGCAAGUUUUCAUGAUGGUUUCUUUCUGAAAUUGAUUUUGUUGACUAUCUGUGGCUAUUGUUAGUGUCACCACCCGAAAACUUACUUUUGAUGUAGUUGGGAGGGAGUUAGAUGAAGAAUUAGGGAAAGGCACUGAUCAUUUAUUUAUUAUUUUUAUUUUUUAUGGCUAAUUGAAAUUUCUAUUACAAAACUACGGAAAAGUGGCAGAAGUACUGGAUAGAAAGAGAGUGGAGGAUGCAUGUUUAACCUGGUUUUCACAUUCCACAUUCUAUUUAGCUUGCGCUGCAAGCCAAUCUGCAAUACCUUUAGCAUUUCUGGGCAGUACUGCAGUAGACUCCAUCUAUUUAUUUAUUUAUUUUUAUUUUUGGGCAAUCUAGACCCCAUCCAUUCACUGCUGAAACUCAGAUUGAAGUUCUAAAGGGUAGAUUUUCACCUUGAUCAAGAGGGCAGAUCUAAACUUCUCAUGCAUUUAGACCAAACUGCAAAAGAAAUCCAACAAGUCACCUCCCUUUUCAUAACUUCAUUAGACCCCAACUGAUCAAUUAUGCACUCCACGUAGCCAUACAACAAAUAUUGUUACAGAGGCCAAGCUAACUUUAUAACAAAAAAACGCAAAACCAAAUUAACCACACUUUAUUAGUUCAAGGACACAGUAACCAGAAAUUAAUGUUCAAUAGUUUCAGGAAACUCCUGACAUAUUGGGCACAAUUAUGGUGAGGUCGAUCACAACCCCUUCACAACUGCUUAACCACUGUACAAGCAGCAUUAGCAGAAGCCCUUGAGAGGAAAUGUUAACUUUAGGAAGGCAUUCGGCAUUAUUGAGGAGCAAUGUUAUGAGAGCAGUGGCUAGAUUGUAUGGAAUGCAACUUUCUGUCAAUAUAAAUUGCAUGCAAUGGCAGCAUGAUCUAACAGUGUGUGCGCCCUUUUUCUAAUAAGGCAACCAGUCUCUCUUCCUUCCAGGUAUCAUAAAAUAGGAAUAGACUCAUCAUGCACUUGCAUUAACUUCGUCCUCAUAUGAAUAUUGCUUGAAGGGGUCUAGGUUCUAUGAAAAAAAUUCCUAGUGAUUGAUUAAGUCAACCACUCAUUGAGUUGGUGAUCCUGUAACUUUCCCACGGAAUGCCUGGAAUCCAUCUAUCCCGCCAGUUUACAAUUGAUAUUUGACAUCUCCAGGCACUGAUCAUUUACUUAGGAAAACAAGUUUUUCAUAUUUUUACAACAAAUUGUUCAUUUAUCUACAAACGGACUCAUCUAGAAAACCUUGACAAUGAAAACGGGAGGGAAAAUACUGAAAUGGACCUCAUCCAAACAUUAUGAAUAGAAAUUCCACUGGAAUCCUAGAGUUGAUAGUAAUUUGCAAAGUGAGUUCCUUACAAUGAAGUAUGAGUUCUCUAUUAUAAGUGCAAGGGAAACAAGUAGCGGACAACACUUAGCUUUUAGCUUAAGCAUUCAUUACUUAACUUAUGAACUGCUAGUGCUUGAAACCAUUGCUUAGUCUGGUCAAGAAUGAUAUUGCAGAGGAAAGAUAAAGUAAGAACCAAUUUUGGUACUAAACAUUUUUAUAGUAAGAGAGGAGUUCCUCUGACAAUUUCUUGGUUGAUUAACUCAAAUGUCUCUAGAUGGUUUAAGUUUACUCAGAAUGUUCAAUAUGUUUCAUGAGUAGGAAAUUGAAUUUGGAAUUUGAUAAAUACUUUGUAGUUGAGAACUGUUGUAAAUCAUUAUGGCUAUAUCAUGUAAAUAGAUAUAGGGUAAAUCAUUAUGUUGUUAUAGGCUUACCCUUUCCAUGUUUUAUGGAUGACUUUAGGAAUCCUUGUUUUAUGGAGGACUUUAGGGGUCCUUGUUUUAUGGAGGACUUUAGGCUACAUGUUCCCUAUCUUCCACUAUAUGUAGUCCAUUUCUCAUCCAUGUUAUGAGAUGAAUACAGAAAAUACUACACUCCUUCUCUGCAUCUAAACUCUCUCUCUCUCUCAAGUUCUUUGAAGCAAAGCUCUCUCCAUUUUCUGCAUGAAACACUUUCUAUGUUCGUUUUACAACACGUUAUCAGCACGAAUAGCUCUACGAUUUGGAUUGCAGAUUGACAAGAGGAGAGGUGAAUAACUCUUGGGUUGCAGAGAAGAGGCAGUUCAUCAUUCAAUCAACUUCACUCUACCAGCUCUACAACCAAGCAAGAUACAAUGAGGCUGUGUACUUAAGAGAGCCUCGCUCCACCCAAACCUCAUACUCUUACCUGGUCGUAUUUAAUUGGAGUUACCAAAAGGGUUGAGUAAUAACUUUUCAUUCCUUGGCAGACCAGCUUGAGCCCAGCAGGCCCACUCUCCCUCUGCGGGACCUAGCAGCCUAGCAGGCCUCACACACCAUUUGAAUUACGCAUGAAAGGCCGGAUCACAAGCUCGCAGACUAAGCCCGAUAGGCUUCACUAUCAAGCCCACUCCUUUGGUCCAGCAGAAUCAAAUAAAAGGAAAAAUGAUUUGAUAUUGUAAAUAGAUUCACCAUAUUUAAUAUGUGUAAUUAAUUGCCAGAAGCAUUUAUUCACAUAAUUGUGUGAUAAUUAAUAUGUUAUUUUACUAGCAUGCAAUUAAUAUCUCAAUUGAUUUGUGAUUUCCAUUUAUCCAAUUUGUGAGAUUAUUUCAAUUUGCUCAAUUCAAUAUUAUUGUGUUACUUGUCUAAAUUUUCGCACUAGAAUAUAUGUGUAGAAAAUGCAGGUACCUAAUGAACUAGAAGUUCUAAAUGAACCAGUAGUUCAUUCACAUAUCGAACCUGUAGUUUCGAUAAUGCCAUUUAAGAAACUUGAAGUUUCCUUCAUAAAUUCACCACACAUGAUAAAACCAGUAGAUUUUACAUGUUUAAUCCGAUUUUCCAUACCAUGUUAUAGAACCUGAAAUUCCUAUUAGUUGCUUAUGGACGAUACUACCCAAAGCACUAAGAUUAUUUGUUCCUUUCCUGUAAGAAAUGCCAAAUCUCAACAAACUUGACUUUGUUGCUUUGGAGGUUUCCAGAAGAAACUAUCUAAAGUGAACUCAAGAUGUGAAAAUUCAUCUGAUUGCAAAGAAGAUGAGAUCAACAAUCAAUGCUAACAAUGUCGUCAUUGAGGCUUUUAAUAUGAGUGCCAUAAUUUUCAAAGGAAACAUAUGGAGAAAACACUCCAAGUUGAGUAUCCGAUGAAGAGGAUACACAGACUCUUUGGGUCGCUCUAGAAGAGCACUUUCACCAUCAAAUGACCAUUUUCUUGCUUGAAGCAAGACAUGAUUGGCAGAACGAAAUUAGCCCAUAUGACCGUCUGCCACUUGGCCAAAGCCCAAGAGGCCAUGUAAUCAGGCUCCACGUGGCCAAGGCCCACGUGGUAGGAACCAUGAUGCCAUAACUCAGCAAGCCCAAGUUGAAAGGAACACUGGUCCGGCCCGCUGCCACCAGAAUCAGCAUGAUCUUUGUUAUCAAUGUGAAGGAAUUGACUGCUGGUCCCGCACCUGUUGUGCGAUAGCCUAAGCAGUAGAUGAGUAUUACGCCGGUCGCGGAACUCGAAAUACCAACUUUAUUAAAGGGUCAUUUUCUAUCGAUUCCACACUAGAGAUCACGGAUUUUCAGGCAGUUACUGAACAUACCAAGGAUUAGAACUCGAAGACAUGGGUAUA
RNA transcript from Rosa rugosa (rugosa rose), 3806 nucleotides. It is a transcript of the gene named V-type proton ATPase subunit G1-like, with no coding region annotated. Lineage: Eukaryota; Viridiplantae; Streptophyta; Magnoliopsida; Rosales; Rosaceae. The record is from RefSeq and is a predicted model, not a curated record. The transcript is spliced from 2 exons.